GACGAACGCUGGCGGCGUGCUUAACACAUGCAAGUCGAACGGUAAGGCCCUGCUUUUGUGGGGUGCUGGAGUGGCGAACGGGUGGGUAACAUGUGACUAACCUGCCCUGGACUUUGGGAUAACUUCAGGAAACUGGGGCGAAUACCGGAUAGGAGCUCCUGCUGCAUGGUGGGGGUUGGAAAGUUUCGGGGGUUGUGGAGGGACUCGCGGCUUAUCAGCUCGUUGGUGGGGUAGUGGCUUAACUAGGCUUUGACGGGUAGCCGGCCUGAGUGGGUGACCGGCCCCGUUGGGACUGAUAUACGGGCCAGCCUCCUACGGGAGGCAGCAAUGGGGGAUAUUGCGCAAUGGGCGGGCGGCUGAUGCAACAACGGCGCUUGCGGGAUGAAGGCCUUCGGGUAGUAAACCACUUUUGCCUGUGACGUAGCGUGGUUGACGGUAAUGGGUAAAGAAGCACCGGCUAACUACGUG
This 468-nucleotide ribosomal RNA is filed under the name uncultured bacterium. Its description in RNAcentral is "partial 16S ribosomal RNA". It matches the Rfam family "Bacterial small subunit ribosomal RNA", at positions 28 to 507 of the family's 1533-position model. The record is from RNAcentral.